Molecule: transfer RNA, 85 nt
Filed under: Syntrophorhabdaceae bacterium
Lineage: Bacteria; Pseudomonadati; Thermodesulfobacteriota; Syntrophorhabdia; Syntrophorhabdales; Syntrophorhabdaceae
Description: tRNA-Leu
Rfam family: tRNA
About the family: Transfer RNA (tRNA) molecules are approximately 80 nucleotides in length. Their secondary structure includes four short double-helical elements and three loops (D, anti-codon, and T loops).
Source: RNAcentral
GCCGAAGUGGCGGAAUUGGCAGACGCGCUAGAUUCAGGGUCUAGUAGGCUCUAAGCCUGUGUGGGUUCAAGUCCCGUCUUCGGCA